This 253-nucleotide ribosomal RNA is filed under the name uncultured bacterium. RNAcentral's name for it is "partial 16S ribosomal RNA". It matches the Rfam family "Bacterial small subunit ribosomal RNA", at positions 524 to 776 of the family's 1533-position model. The record is from RNAcentral.
UACGUAGGGUGCGAGCGUUAAUCGGAAUUACUGGGCGUAAAGUGUGCGCAGGCGGCCGAGCAAGUCGAGUGUGAAAGCCCCGAGCUUAACUUGGGAACUGCGCUCGAAACUACUUGGCUAGAGUGUGGCAGAGGGAGGUGGAAUUCCACGUGUAGCGGUGAAAUGCGUAGAGAUGUGGAGGAACACCGAUGGCGAAGGCAGCCUCCUGGGCCAACACUGGCGCUCAUGCACGAAAGCGUGGGGAGCAAACAGG